UACGUAGGUGGCAAGCGUUAUCCGGAAUUACUGGGCGUAAAGCGCACGCAGGCGGUCUUUUAAGUUUGACGUGAAAGCUCCCGGCUUAACCGGGAGAGGUCGUUGAAGACUGGAAGACUUGAGGCAAUGAGAGGGGUGUAGAAUUCCCGGUGUAGCGGUGGAAUGCGUAGAGAUCGGGAAGAACAUCAGUGGCGAAGGCGGUCUGCUGGGCCGUUGCUGACGCUGAGGCGCGACAGCGUGGGGAGCAAACAGG
Molecule: ribosomal RNA, 253 nt
Filed under: uncultured bacterium
Lineage: Bacteria
Description: partial 16S ribosomal RNA
Rfam family: Bacterial small subunit ribosomal RNA
Source: RNAcentral